AGUGAACGCUGGCGGUAGGCCUAACACAUGCAAGUCGAACGGCAGCACAGUAAGAGCUUGCUCUUACGGGUGGCGAGUGGCGGACGGGUGAGGAAUACAUCGGAAUCUACUUUUUCGUGGGGGAUAACGUAGGGAAACUUACGCUACUACCGCAUACGACCUACGGGUGAAAGCAGGGGAUCUUCGGACCUUGCGCGAUUGAUUGAGCCGAUGUCGGAUUAGCUAGUUGGCGGGGUAAAGGCCCACCAAGGCGACGAUACGUAGCUGGUCUGAGAGGAUGAUCAGCCACACUGGAACUGAGACACGGUCCAGACUCCUACGGGAGGCAGCAGUGGGGAAUAUUGGACAAUGGGCGCAAGCCUGAUCCAGCCAUACCGCGUGAGUGAAGAAGGCCUUCGGGUUGUAAAGCCCUUUUGUUGGGAAAGAAAAGCAGCAGGUUAAUACCCCGCUGUUCUGACGGUACCCAAAGAAUAAGCACCGGCUAACUUCGUG
This 492-nucleotide ribosomal RNA is filed under the name uncultured bacterium. RNAcentral's name for it is "partial 16S ribosomal RNA". It matches the Rfam family "Bacterial small subunit ribosomal RNA", at positions 29 to 507 of the family's 1533-position model. The record is from RNAcentral.